RNAcentral lists this ribosomal RNA (253 nucleotides) under uncultured bacterium. RNAcentral's name for it is "partial 16S ribosomal RNA". It matches the Rfam family "Bacterial small subunit ribosomal RNA", at positions 524 to 776 of the family's 1533-position model. The record is from RNAcentral.
UACGUAGGGUGCGAGCGUUGUCCGGAAUUAUUGGGCGUAAAGAGCUUGUAGGCGGUUUGUCGCGUCUGCCGUGAAAAUCCGGGGCUCAACCCCGGACUUGCGGUGGGUACGGGCAGACUAGAGUGUGGUAGGGGAGACUGGAAUUCCUGGUGUAGCGGUGAAAUGCGCAGAUAUCAGGAGGAACACCGAUGGCGAAGGCAGGUCUCUGGGCCACUACUGACGCUGAGAAGCGAAAGCGUGGGGAGCAUACAGG